This is a non-coding RNA of Schistocerca cancellata (South American locust), 72 nucleotides long. NCBI's taxonomy places the organism in Eukaryota, Metazoa, Arthropoda, Insecta, Orthoptera, Acrididae. The record is from the annotation of a RefSeq genome assembly.
GCCAGGGUGGCGUAGUGGUUGCUGCAUCUGUCUAAUGAGCAGGAGACCUGGGUUCGAAUCCCGGCCUUGGUA